AACGAACGCUGGCGGCAUGCCUAACACAUGCAAGUCGAACGAUGCCUUCGGGCUUAGUGGCGCACGGGUGCGUAACGCGUGGGAAUCUUCCUUUCGGUUCGGACUAACUCAGGGAAACUUGAGCUAAUACCGGAUAACGUCGCAAGACCAAAGAUUUAUCACCGAAAGAUGAGCCCGCGUAGGAUUAGCUAGUUGGUGAGGUAAAGGCUCACCAAGGCGACGAUCCUUAGCUGGUCUGAGAGGAUGAUCAGCCACACUAGGACUGAGACACGGCCCAGACUCCUACGGGAGGCAGCAGUGGGGAAUAUUGAACAAUGGGCGAAAGCCUGAUCCAGCAAUGCCGCGUGAGUGAUGAAGGCCUUAGGGUUGUAAAGCUCUUUUACCCGGGAAGAUAAUGACGGUACCGGGAGAAUAAGCCCCGGCUAACUCCGUG
Molecule: ribosomal RNA, 433 nt
Filed under: uncultured bacterium
Lineage: Bacteria
Description: partial 16S ribosomal RNA
Rfam family: Bacterial small subunit ribosomal RNA
Source: RNAcentral